This is a long non-coding RNA of Dreissena polymorpha, 451 nucleotides long. RefSeq lists it as uncharacterized. The record is from RefSeq and is a predicted model, not a curated record. The transcript has 3 exons. Lineage: Eukaryota; Metazoa; Mollusca; Bivalvia; Myida; Dreissenidae.
CGACAUCGAUAAGAAGCGAUCGGCAAAUUUCAGUGCUAAUGACUGCUUGUUGCUGGCUCAUAUUAUGAAUGAGCCGGCUUAAGAAGGGUCUAUUUUGACUCGCUAUGCUUACCUGAAAAUCAGAUUCAACCCAUCAAUUACUUCUGCACCAAAGAAGUUGUUGUGGGACGAAAUAAGUGCAACGUUUAAUCUGAGGGCAGAGUACCCUAGAGAGUGUUUUAAUCCUACAAACAAAUGGGAAAACCUUAUUCAAACGCAUAGGUCAAAGUAUCAGGACCAUCUGUUUGCGCAAAACAAAACAGGUGGUGGAGCUGUCACCACUGUGCUAGGGCCAAUUACAGAGGCAAUUAUGGACGUGGUUGGUAGAAGUUCUUCCAACACUGUCGGAAUAGUUGAAACAACAUUUGACAGCGGGUUUCUACAGCUUGAUGCAUUUGAUGCAUUUGGCGAU